Molecule: ribosomal RNA, 324 nt
Filed under: Chloroflexota bacterium
Lineage: Bacteria; Bacillati; Chloroflexota
Description: bacterial SSU rRNA
Rfam family: Bacterial small subunit ribosomal RNA
Source: RNAcentral
UUAAAUGAGAGUUUGAUCCUGGCUCAGGAUAAACGCUGGCGGCGUGCAUUACGCAUGCAAGUCGAACGGAUUCCAUGGAGUGAGUUCGCUUACUCUGCGGGAUCAGUGGCAGACGGGUGAGUAACGCGUAAGUGACCUACCCAGGAGUGGGGAAUAACCCCGCGAAAGCGGGGCUAAUACCGCAUAAUGUGGAGGGUGUAGAGGCCCUUCACCAAAGCCUUCGGGCGCUCUUGGAGGGGCUUGCGUCCUAUCAGCUAGUUGGUGAGGUAACGGCCCACCAAGGCUAUGACGGGUAGCCGGUCUGAGAGGAUGAUCGGCCAGAGG